GGCUGAUUCACAAGGAUCCAGAGAUGGAGAUUGUUCUCCAGGAUGCAGUUCAGUCCAGCAGAAGAGCUCAAACCCAGAGUCCAGCUGUGUGUCUCUGAAGAGUAACUGGUCUAUGGAGGAGCCAACAAAGUUUAAGAGUGAAAACACACAGCCUGAUCUCAGGUCAAAUCUUUUAUCCAGUCCAGUUAAAAACAAAACUGUGAUUCGACCACAAAACUUUAAUGAAAGCAUGAAUCCUG
This is a long non-coding RNA of Megalobrama amblycephala (Wuchang bream), 239 nucleotides long. RefSeq lists it as uncharacterized. The transcript has 3 exons. The record is from RefSeq and is a predicted model, not a curated record. Lineage: Eukaryota; Metazoa; Chordata; Actinopteri; Cypriniformes; Xenocyprididae.